Molecule: ribosomal RNA, 192 nt
Filed under: Paenibacillus sp. PDC88
Lineage: Bacteria; Bacillati; Bacillota; Bacilli; Caryophanales; Paenibacillaceae
Description: 16S rRNA. Bacterial SSU
Rfam family: Bacterial small subunit ribosomal RNA
Source: RNAcentral
CUUUUUUGGAGAGUUUGAUCCUGGCUCAGGACGAACGCUGGCGGCGUGCCUAAUACAUGCAAGUCGAGCGGAGCUAGGUGAAACUUGUUUCACCUAGCUUAGCGGCGGACGGGUGAGUAACACGUAGGUAACCUGCCCAUAAGACUGGGAUAACUACCGGAAACGGUAGCUAAUACCGGAUAGGUUCUUCUC